This 497-nucleotide ribosomal RNA is filed under the name uncultured bacterium. RNAcentral's name for it is "partial 16S ribosomal RNA". It matches the Rfam family "Bacterial small subunit ribosomal RNA", at positions 28 to 507 of the family's 1533-position model. The record is from RNAcentral.
GAUGAACGCUGGCGGCGUGCCUAAUACAUGCAAGUCGAGCGAACAGACGAGGAGCUUGCUCCUCUGACGUUAGCGGCGGACGGGUGAGUAACACGUGGAUAACCUACCUAUAAGACUGGGAUAACUUCGGGAAACCGGAGCUAAUACCGGAUAAUAUAGUGAACCGCAUGGUUCAAUAGUGAAAGACGGUUUUGCUGUCACUUAUAGAUGGAUCCGCGGCGCAUUAGCUAGUUGGUAAGGUAACGGCUUACCAAGGCAACGAUGCGUAGCCGACCUGAGAGGGUGACCGGCCACACUGGAACUGAGACACGGUCCAGACUCCUACGGGAGGCAGCAGUGGGGAAUCUUGCGCAAUGGGCGAAAGCCUGACGGAGCAACGCCGCGUGAGUGAUGAAGGUCUUCGGAUCGUAAAACUCUGUUAUUCGGGAAGAACAACUGUGUAAGUAACUAUGCACGUCUUGACGGUACCUAAUCAGAAAGCCACGGCUAACUACGUG